GAUGAACGCUGGCGGCGUGCCUAAUACAUGCAAGUAGAACGCUGAAGGAGGAGCUUGCUCUUCUGGAUGAGUUGCGAACGGGUGAGUAACGCGUAGGUAACCUGCCUGGUAGCGGGGGAUAACUAUUGGAAACGAUAGCUAAUACCGCAUGACAACAGUUAUUGCAUGAUAACUGUUUAAAAGGGGCAACUGCUCCACUACCAGAUGGACCUGCGUUGUAUUAGCUAGUUGGUGAGGUAACGGCUCACCAAGGCGACGAUACAUAGCCGACCUGAGAGGGUGAACGGCCACACUGGGACUGAGACACGGCCCAGACUCCUACGGGAGGCAGCAGUAGGGGAUCUUCGGACAUGGACGGAAGUCUGACCGAGCAACGCCGCGGGAGUGAAGAAGGUUUUCGGAUCGUAAAGCUCUGUUGUAAGAGAAGAACGAGUGUGAGAGUGGAAAGUUCACACUGUGACGGUAUCUUACCAGAAAGGGACGGCUAACUACGUG
This 495-nucleotide ribosomal RNA is filed under the name uncultured bacterium. RNAcentral describes it as "partial 16S ribosomal RNA". It matches the Rfam family "Bacterial small subunit ribosomal RNA", at positions 28 to 507 of the family's 1533-position model. The record is from RNAcentral.